Molecule: microRNA precursor, 69 nt
Filed under: Chlorocebus sabaeus (green monkey)
Lineage: Eukaryota; Metazoa; Chordata; Mammalia; Primates; Cercopithecidae
Description: miRNA (ENSCSAG00000027400.1)
Source: RNAcentral
CAUAUUAUGUUGGUGCAAAAGUAAUUGCGGGUUUUGCCAUGAAAGUAAUGGCAAACACAACAAUUACUU